Astatotilapia calliptera (eastern happy) is the source of this 587-nucleotide long non-coding RNA. The record is from Ensembl. NCBI's taxonomy places the organism in Eukaryota, Metazoa, Chordata, Actinopteri, Cichliformes, Cichlidae.
GAAAUGAAGGCCUUUUGGAAAAAUUUGGGAAGUUCCUAUGUUCUCAGCAAGGUUUUAAUAGAAAAGAGCUUGUGCUGGAAGAAAUUAUUUUGGGCAGGAGUAGCCAUCUGGUUGGGUUUUUAAAGGAUUUUACAAGAGAAAAACACGAGCCAUGUCCAGGAAGGAGCUACUCGAUGCACGAAAAGCUUUGAGGAGCUUUAGGGAAGGUGUGAGUGGGCCGAGAAGCAAGAAACAAAGAGACUCUGAGACCACAGAGGAUGAGACCACAGAACCUCAGAUGGAAACCAAAGAAGGGCCCGGGAGGCACCAUGAUAAGGCUGGCCGGAAAGGACCUUCAGGUAUUUUAUUUAAACUCCUUUUUUUUCCUUUUUUUUUAAGCUUAUGUAAGUUUGUGGUUUCGAGGCUUCGUUUUUCUUUUUUGAGGUCAUAUUUUCUAGCUGCAAGCUUGCACUACUUAAAGAAAAUAUUCUGCAGCUCUUUGUCCAAAAUGAUAUUUAGCCAGAUUUACAGCUCCACCACCAACAUCUCUGCCAAAAACACACUUGUAUAAAGUUAUGAUAGAUAGAUUUAAUGGAGGCUGUUAUCAU